UCGGGAAUUUUGGGCAAUGGGCGAAAGCCUGACCCAGCAACGCCGCGUGAGGGAUGAAGUAUUUCGGUAUGUAAACCUCGAAAGAAUGGGAAGAAUAAAUGACGGUACCAUUUAUAAGCUCCGGCUAACUACGUGCCAGCAGCCGCGGUAAUACGUAGGGAGCAAGCGUUGUUCGGAUUUACUGGGCGUAAAGGGCGCGUAGGCGGCGCGGUAAGUCACUUGUGAAAUCUCUGAGCUUAACUCAGAACGGCCAAGUGAUACUGCUGUGCUAGAGUGCGGAAGAGGCAACCGGAAUUCUUGGUGUAGCGGUGAAAUGCGUAGAUAUCACACAGAAUAUCGAUUGCGAAGGCAGCUCACAAAGCCAUUAUUGACGCUGAGGAACGAAAGUGUGGGGAU
RNAcentral lists this ribosomal RNA (396 nucleotides) under uncultured bacterium. Its description in RNAcentral is "bacterial SSU rRNA". It matches the Rfam family "Bacterial small subunit ribosomal RNA", at positions 355 to 768 of the family's 1533-position model. The record is from RNAcentral.